AGUCUGUUCAAAGGGCCUAUGGUGGGAAGGAGGUGAGUUUGAGGAACUCAAAGGGGCAGCGUGGCCAGAGUGAAGAAGUGAGUGAGGGCUGUGUGAAGACGGCUCUUCUCCCCUCUUCUAAUGUUUACUCCCACGUGGAGGAGGGAACUCAGCUGUAGCAUGCCUGGCCUCUUUCUGCCCCUCACUCACCUUUCUCGGGGUGGAGUAGGAAAGACUCUGUAGUGGGCAGGUGUAGCUCAGAGUUUUCCUUUCCUUUUAGGGAGGGCGUUGCCUGCAGGGAGCUUGGGCUUCCUCUGGUCCUCCAGUGAGGGGCCCUGCCUGUGGAGCGGGCACCCCCAUCAGUCCUCCCCUGCAACCUGGGGCAAGGAAGUCUGCCUAACCUGGGGCUCAGAGCAUGGAGGCACACCAGUGCACAGAUUCAAGCUACAUCCUCCAAGCUGCCUUUCUCAUGAGCAGAGACGCUUUUCCAACUGCUUGUUCCUAUGUUCUAUCUCUCCAUUGUCAAAAACUUGGGUGGAAAAGGGAAGCUACUUAUGGGGCUUACAAAGACCCCAAGAGGUAUAGGUUGUGACCAUAGAGAUGAUCAGGUUCAAACCAUUCAGAGCCUCACAGCCAAAAAGGUUUGGAUUUCGUCCUACAAGCAAUGGAAGUCUUUGAAGGGCUUUAUAAGCAGGAAAGCGACUGAUGAGAUUUGCAUGUUGAGAAGUUCCUUCUGGCUGCUCCACAGAGAACAGAAUGGGGCAUUCUUAAUCCUGGGUGAUCCUCUUUCUCUGGGCCCCGAGAGGGGAAAGAGUCAGAAGCAGGGGGCAGCUGUGACUCCCUCUGACCGGUCCUCCCAAGCUCAUGUAGGCUGGAAAUAUACUCAGAAACAUAGGGCUUACUUUGAACAAUGGAUUAAAAGACAAGUAUUUCAUUGGUGCAGAGAUGAGCUCAAAUCUGAAAGCUGGUCCAAGCAGCAGAAUGCUCAGAGCCUCACACCGGCUUAACUGGGCCAGGGAGUCAGGACCCUGCUGACAAAGAGAAAUUGAGAAGAAGGAAACCUCCUAGAGAAUUCAGAUCAGAAAUGAAAUACUUUGGCUUCAACUUGUGCUUCUGGAGAGAUCCUUAUUCCUGUCCCUCAACACUCUUGACUCAGCAUUCAGAGGCCAGUCCCUGAGAGGCAGCAAUUAC
Molecule: long non-coding RNA, 1170 nt
Filed under: Equus caballus (horse)
Lineage: Eukaryota; Metazoa; Chordata; Mammalia; Perissodactyla; Equidae
Description: lncRNA (ENSECAG00000057352.1)
Source: RNAcentral